This 590-nucleotide ribosomal RNA is filed under the name uncultured bacterium. Its description in RNAcentral is "partial 16S ribosomal RNA". It matches the Rfam family "Bacterial small subunit ribosomal RNA", at positions 355 to 1376 of the family's 1533-position model. The record is from RNAcentral.
UGGGGAAUAUUGGACAAUGGGGGGAACCCUGAUCCAGCCAUGCCGCGUGUGUGAAGAAGGCCUUAUGGUUGUAAAGCACUUUAAGCGAGGAGGAGGCUACUGAGACUAAUACUCUUGGAUAGUGGACGUUACUCGCAGAAUAAGCACCGGCUAACUCUGUGCCAGCAGCCGCGGUAAUACAGAGGGUGCGAGCGUUAAUCGGAUUUACUGGGCGUAAAGCGUGCGUAGGCGGCUUUUUAAGUCGGAUGUGAAAUCCCCGAGNUUAACUUGGGAAUUGCAUUCGAUACUGGGAAGCUAGAGUAUGGGAGAGGAUGGUAGAAUUCCAGGUGUAGCGGUGAAAUGCGUAGAGAUCUGGAGGAAUACCGAUGGCGAAGGCAGCCAUCUGGCCUAAUACUGACGCUGAGGUACGAAAGCAUGGGGAGCAAACAGGAUUAGAUACCCUGGUAGUCCAUGCCGUAAACGAUGUCUACUAGCCGUUGGGGCCUUUGAGGCUUUAGUGGCGCAGCUAACGCGGUAAGUAGACCGCCUGGGGAGUACGGUCGCAAGACUAAAACUCAAAGGAAUUUGACGGGGGUCAUAGCUGUUUCCUG